This 253-nucleotide ribosomal RNA is filed under the name uncultured bacterium. Its description in RNAcentral is "partial 16S ribosomal RNA". It matches the Rfam family "Bacterial small subunit ribosomal RNA", at positions 524 to 776 of the family's 1533-position model. The record is from RNAcentral.
UACGUAGGGGGCAAGCGUUGUCCGGAAUCAUUGGGCGUAAAGCGCGCGUAGGCGGCCAGAUAAGUCCGGUGUGAAAGUCACAGGCUCAACCUGUGAAUGCCGCUGGAAACUGUCUGGCUUGAGUCCGGAAGGGGCGAGUGGAAUUCCUGGUGUAGCGGUGAAAUGCGCAGAUAUCAGGAGGAACACCAAUGGCGAAGGCAGCUCGCUGGAACGGUACUGACGCUGAGACGCGAAAGCGUGGGGAGCAAACAGG